UCAGAUAUGCAGAAUCAUACAAUGCUAGUCCAUUUUGUGACGGGUUUGUGUCACUCAGCACAAUGUCCUAGAGGCUCAUCCAAUUACCCUUCUUGAGGGGCCACACUGUGGUCUUCCUGGGGUGAUGGUGGCCUUCCUCCUCACCGAGUUGCCCUGCCUCUCCCUCCUCCUUCCCAGUCUUGGUAUUGAUGUCACCCUUUGGGACUCUGGCCCUCACUCCUGUCAUUUUUUGGCAUCGCCGUCUAUUCUGCUUUUCUGCUUUAAUGGUUCCCAUCUCGCACUGGGAGCCUCUGCUCCCCCCCCCCCCCCCCGGGGUUUGAAAUUGGCUGUGGAACAAGGAAGUCCAUGGGCCGGGAAGAAAGCAUGUUGGAAGGAGGAUUCCUGUCAUCCAGGGAAACUAGUCCUUUCACCAGGGGCAGAGAGAAGGUCACGGUCCCUGGGAGGAGGUGAAGACGCUGCCUGGGGCCUUGUUUAUACACUGAGCCCUGCUUUGUGGGCCCAGUAGAUCUACCUCUGCAGACACACCUCCAGAUCACAGCUUGACGCGCAGCUGAGACACCUGCUCCAAACCCUCCAGUGCCCAUUUGUCACGGGCAGACAGAUUUCACAACAGGUAAUUAUAGUCUGUGCUGACCGUACAGGGGCACCUGCUUCAUUAAUUUUUUAAGUCAGUGAUUAUCAAGGAUGAAAUCUGUUGUUAUUUCAAUGUUUAUCAAUGGCCCAUAAUGUGCCAAACACUAUCUUGAUCACCAAAUAAAGAAGCUGUACGGAAAAACAAGAUGGCCCCGGUUACUUGGAGGCUGAGGUGGGGAAGCCAGCGUGACUAGACCCGCGUCCAGGAGCACGGUGUGGUAAGUACAGGGAG
Molecule: long non-coding RNA, 865 nt
Filed under: Marmota monax (woodchuck)
Lineage: Eukaryota; Metazoa; Chordata; Mammalia; Rodentia; Sciuridae
Source: RNAcentral